Long non-coding RNA from Triticum dicoccoides, 1482 nucleotides. RefSeq lists it as uncharacterized. The record is from RefSeq and is a predicted model, not a curated record. NCBI's taxonomy places the organism in Eukaryota, Viridiplantae, Streptophyta, Magnoliopsida, Poales, Poaceae. The transcript is spliced from 3 exons.
AAUCGUGCAUCUCUCCAACCUCUAAAUUUCACUUGCCAAGUAUGUAUAACAAUCCAUUAUGUAUAUGUAAGGAUGGUGAUUCAGCUGGUAUGAUCCAACAAUAUUGCAUGUAUAUUCCUGUCCAUGGUCUUAUCUCAUGAUGGCUAAUUUAGCAGGUUCAAUCUACUCAAGCAUGCAUGUCGGGCUCUCCCGAAGUCUUGAUCGAGUUCAUGUUCAACCUUUCAGUCUCAGUUUCCAUGUGCUAAUAUGUGAUAACACAUAUACUCCAUAAUGGUUGAUUUUGCAGAAAUGGGAAUAUGGCCCGUUCAAAGCACAGCGGGUGCUUAGAUCCAGUGUUCAUUGCGCCUGCAUGUCCACCUUCUCCUAGAAAGAUGACGCCAAGUAUCACCCAUCAGCCAGUCUUUUAAACCUGUGUAUGUAUAUGCAAACUUUUUUACAUCAGCCAGAUUUGUUCCCUCAAAUUGUCUGGCCGAUUAUUUACGUGAGGCCCUAGAAAACGAGCUGGUGAGAGCCAAGGGCUCCACAAGUUAGAAGUAGUGUUCUCAGUCACUUUCAUUGUUAGGUGAAAUAACCUGUGUACUUUGUUUAUUCAUUUUCAAAGAUUUAUCAACCUGGUGCAAAGUUUAGCUAGGCUAUGCAAAAUUGGGUUGCCAUAAAUAACUAAAGAGCAUGCCUAUUAUAUUAAGCACUAUAUCUUCUGUGUGGAAUAUUUAGAAUUUUAUUAUCCAAUAGGAUUAGAUAGGAAAACAGUGGAACUGGAGCCAUUCAAUCUAACAUGCAGGCAUGCAUAUAUAUAUCGAUAUGUCUCAAAGCAUGAAGGUCAGUUCACAUGUUGAGUCGUUCAUGAAGAUUUCAUUCCGAAUCUGGAGAACCUACGUCUAUACGCUGGACUAACUAAGUAACAUCCAGAUCUAUUCAUGUGAAUUUUAAUUUCCUGUAGAUAUUCUGCAUGACAUUAUAUCUUUAAAUUCUAACGAUAUAUAUAAUGUGCAAUAUUCACACUUUUCUUAUGAAAUAUGAGGACAUAGGGAAACACCAAAACUGAAGCCAAUCUAUGUGACGCGCACGCGUGCAGAUGAAACGUGAGCCUCUACUUCUGAAUGUAUGGAUUUAAUUUAUUUCGCUAAUGUUGGCGUUGUACCUGUGAUUAUGGCGGCCUAUGGUUGCAAACUUGCUGAGAAAGCAUUGUCAACAAUAUAAUGAAGGUGCAUGUUCCUUCAGCAGGUGAUUGUUUUAACGGGCAAAAAACUAACAGCGUCCAGAGACAUACUUAUAUGCACACAUCAGUUUUUGUAUGAUAAGUUGAUAACUUGAUGGAGACUUAUGUUUGUUGCACUUUUGUAUUAUUCAAAUUAAACAUAAAAAAUAUUAUGAUUAUAUGUUUAUGUAACCUCAGAUAGCUAGCCCGUGCAUGUGCACGGGUUGACGACUAGUAUAUAUAAUAUUUGGCCUCGUGAAGGAGAAAGUAUCGCUCAAUCUUGG